AUUGAACGCUAGCGGCAUGCCUAACACAUGCAAGUCGAACGAGUGGCGGACGGGUGAGUAAUAUCUCGGAAACUGCCCAGUAGCGGGGGAUAACUACUGGAAACGGUAGCUAAUACCGCAUACUAUCGGAUGAACCCAUAUGGGAUUAGCUAGUAGGUGGGGUAACGGCUCACCUAGGCGACGAUCCCUAGCUGGUCUGAGAGGAUGAACAGCCAAACUGGAACUGAGACACGGCCCAGACUCCUACGGGAGGCAGCAGUGGGGAAUAUUGCAAAAUGGGCGCAAGCCUGAUGCAGCCAGGCCGCGUGUAUGAAGAAGGCCUUAGGGUUGUAAAGUACUUUCAGCGGGGAGGCGUUACCGGCAGAAGAAGCACCGGCUAACUCCGUGCCAGCCGCCGCGGUAAUUC
RNAcentral lists this ribosomal RNA (406 nucleotides) under uncultured bacterium. RNAcentral's name for it is "partial 16S ribosomal RNA". It matches the Rfam family "Bacterial small subunit ribosomal RNA", at positions 30 to 526 of the family's 1533-position model. The record is from RNAcentral.